RNAcentral lists this long non-coding RNA (2559 nucleotides) under Marmota monax (woodchuck). The record is from RNAcentral. Lineage: Eukaryota; Metazoa; Chordata; Mammalia; Rodentia; Sciuridae.
GGCCGGCGACCGGCGGGGCGGGCUGGGGGCGUGCGCCCGCCUUGAACUUGGGCCCGGCCGGGGCGGCUGUGCAGGGCCCGCCCCCACGGGGUGCCGGUGGCCCGCAGCACGGGAGGCUUGGGAGGGGGCUCUCUGGGGACAGUAGUUCAAGUUUUUGACAUGUCGCCCUGGCGAGGGGAGGAAGGCCUACCGCUGGCGAGGGCCGGAGGAGCCGCAGGGCUCGGGGGAUGUCUCCUGCCCCCUGUCCCCUCUGGCCCAGGAGGGAAGGGCUGGCUCAGGGUGCCUGGGAAAGGACAGGUUUGGGGGACUCUUCAGGGCUGGCUCCCCAGCCCUGUCAGCGCAGGGUCCCUAUGCCCUUGGGCGGCAGGAGGGUGAAAGGGCCCAGCUGAACCCUGUCCUCCCUCUCCUAGCCCCAGACGGUUCCAGCCUUGGAUUGACUGCCACCAAGGCCCCCAACCCUAACUGACCUUCCUGCCCAGCCAGGCUCCAGAUCCCGUGUCCUCUUGAAUGCCUAGCGGUGCCCUUAUUCCAUGUCACCUGCCCCCUCCCCAGCUCCAAUCAGCUGUUGGCUGGUGACAAGGGGUCUGUACAGGGGAGGCGGGCACAGGACCCCUGGCAUGAGGGGUGUCCUCUGGCAGCCCUGUCUGCUGGCCCAGGCUGGAGGCGCACCGACAGGUGCCCGGGCUUAGGGGCGCGCUGACGUGAGACACACCCUGCCGCUCGCCCACGCACCGCGCCUGGCCAGCCUGGGCACAUGUGUUCGCAGGCAGCCUUCAGGCGAAGGCCCUGGCCCUGGGGCGAGCUCUGUCCUGGCAUCCCGGGGGCCACCCACUGCCCUCUGUCCUCGUGUGAUGUCCUCUGGGAGCUCCCUCAAGACCCCAACCAGCAAGCCUCGUCUGUGGGCCUAGAAGGGCCCUAAGGGAGCUGUCGGCCUGGCCUGGGGAUGGCACGCGCACACAUGCGUGACAGGGCGUGUCCGGCCGGGCCUGUCCAUGCUGGCCCGGCUUCCCAGGCUUCCCCAGAUUCCUGCUUGUCGAAGAAGGACGGGAGGCGGGCGCUCCAGGGGUCCUCCUAGGACCCCAUGGCAUGACACCCCCUGCCUGAAGCAAGUGGGUGACAGAUGUGCCAGGCAGCCUCAGCUGCAGGGCAGGCCCCCACCCGUUACAUUCCACGGGGAACAGGCCAGCAGGCCCCUGGGCACAGUGGGGUGACCUGACUGCCGUGGGCCAGGUGGUGCUUGUACAUCAUGGGGCAUUUCUCUGAGUUUGCCCUUCACCUUGGGAGGCUGGGGGGGGGGCCAGGGGUUCCGUCUGGAGUGUGUAAUGCUGCGGGGAGCCCUGGGUGGUCUUCAGAUGACCCCCUUCAAGGGCUUCUUGGGUGCCCUGGAUGUGCCUUACGCCAGGUUGGGCUGCUCCCUUCAGACUUACUGUGUGACCCCAGAACCUACUCUGCCCGCUCUGUUUUGCGGCUGUAAGUGGGGAGUAUUCAGAGACCGAGUGGAAGGAACCCCUCUUGUCCUUGUCCGGGGCCUCGACUUCAGAUCCCUCAGGGGCACUCUGGCCACUUUCCCUCCUGCUUGCAGGUGUCCUAUGCGGACACAGAGGUGUGCCUCGUGUCCCUCCGGAUGGCUCUGCCUUCAGGGCCGGUCACCUGGGCAGGAUGGGAGUGCAAGGCCUGGGCGUGGGUGUGAGAGUGCUUGGGCCAGGACCCCGCCACACUGGGCACGACUGAGUCACACUGCAGCGGCGCCUUGCCCCCGGGGGCUGGAGCUGGCGCCACCCUGGGUGUGGUCACUGAGCUGUGGCCCUGGGCAGAGCAGGGCUGGGUGGUCCCGGGCUUGGGGCAUCAUGGCAAGGAGCCAGGAAGUGCCUUCCGCGAUACCCUGGCCUCCCCUAGCUUGGGCUCCCAUGGCCACCCCGACUGUGGGCGCCCUCACCCUGGGGAGCCUUGGGUUCCCAGGGGAGGAAGGAGCCGGUCAGAGCCAGCAACCUGGGCUGCGGAUGUGGCUCCGUGGAGGAGCCCCUGCCCCGGGCCUGGGCGCCACCUCCAGCACCAGAAGAAAGAAAAGGCACCAGUGACUGUCCUCGAGGCCAGUGGUCCCUGAAAUCCAGGCCAGGGCUUGGAAGCGGACCUGUCAGAAGGUGGGGGGCCUGCUGGUGGGCACCCCGGGGAGGGCUGGGUGGUCGUGAGUGCGCUCUGCUUGGCUCUGGAGGGCCGGGAGAGGAGCCCUGGGCGGCGGGGGCGGGGCGGCUUUCGUGUUCCCCUAUUUAUAACAAAUGAUUCAGUCCCCAUCACUCACCCUUCCUGAGCCUCCCCCCUCGGCCCUGGGUGGGCACGGGGGCCACCCACUGGCGCGCACCCUGGCUUCCCUGUCCUGGUGCCAGCCCCCGCGGGCUUCCCCACGUCACCCAGGAGGGCUGUUCUUGUGUGUGCUCUGGGAUGGGGACAGUGGGGGGCCGGUGGCCGGGCGGCACCCGGCGGGGCGGCCCAGGUUGGCGGCUGGCGCGGGGCCAGCCCGCGAGCUUCUGUUGAGAGUCUAGCCCAUUAGGCAAAGCGCUG